Molecule: long non-coding RNA, 957 nt
Organism: Anopheles arabiensis
Lineage: Eukaryota; Metazoa; Arthropoda; Insecta; Diptera; Culicidae
Exons: 3
Source: RefSeq, a predicted model, not a curated record
CAACGAGCGAAGCUUGGAUGUAAAGGGGGUGCGUACAGCGGAACGGACCAUCGAAACGCCAUCAUGGACGUUUUGUGUGAAAUCAAACGGCCGUAAAGUUUUAUUUUAUUGCAUUUUUCAUUUUCAAUCAUAUUUUAUCGAGAGUGGCCAACGGUUUUGCUGACGGGUGGUUUACCUGCUUUAUUCAGGCCUUUAGUCCAACCAAAUGAAUGGCAAAAACAUGAGUAAAAUACAUUAACCAUUGCGCAGUCCGAUACAACAACAUUAUAAUACAUCCAGAAGUGACAAAAGUGUGCGCGGGGACGAUCAAUGCUAUAUACCACCAAGCAAAGCACGAUCAAUGUUCAUCGUCCAACACCACCGUCGCUAGCGCUAUAUCGUAAUGACAUGAGCACGUCGUUGUCGACAAGGAAGCGCUAGGAGAUUCAAACCAUCCAGUGCCAGUCUGCCAGUACCACCACCAACCAAUGUCAACCGUGAGACAUGAAUAGCAUUCGCAAUGUAAUUAGGAAUGGAGGAAGAUGAAAAAAGAGCGCUGCUACUGCCGCCAUACGGUUGGGUGAUGAGUUUCGCUACGGUUUGCGAUGAGUUUUAAGCAACUAACAAUAUUGUGCUGCGAGACGAGAUUUUUACGAGCUGCCCGGUUGCCGCGAUGCUGAGACAUUUGCGCCAUUUGCGACAGGUCGAGUGCAGUGCUCGGAGGGGAUGGAUGAUGCUUUUGCUAUCUUCUGAGGAAGCAGAGUGUCUGAUUGUGGUAUCGUUGGUCUCGUUUGCAGUGGUCGUUUGUAUUCACACUUUUUUGUUCUGCUAAUGCUUUUGCUGAUAAGAUGUUUGAAGAGGACAAGCUUGAGACAUGGAAAAGGGCAGAAUUGUUGACUAGAAAGAUUAUUUUUCCGUAGCGUUUGUUUAUAUUUUCCUGCAGCUUAGAGAAUACAAUAUAAAUUUGCUUUUAUAAUU